ACCAGGAGGAAAGCAAGACGCUGAGCCUGGUGUCGCGGGUACGCCUGUGGCCGCGGUGCCCGUGUCUGGGUGGGUACCCGCCCAAGGCACCUCUGACGCUCCCUCCCUGCCCCAGGAUGCCAAGCCCCUGGAGGUGUACAGCGUGGACUUCAUGGUGGACAAUGCCCAGCUGGGUUUUCUGGGUAUGUGGCAGGGUCUGGGGAGCUGAGGCUCUGGGAGUGGCCGGAGCUGACUCUGGGCCUCUGCUCCCCAGUGUCUGACCGCGACCGCAACCUCAUGGUGUACAUGUACCUGCCUGAAGGUGAGUGCUUCCUCCACCCCCUCUGCCUGGGCCGGGGCUGGGCUAGCAGUGACCCUAGGCCUUUCUGGUCUAGCCAAGGAGAGUUUCGGGGGCAUGCGCCUGCUGCGCCGGGCGGACUUCCACGUGGGUGCCCACGUGAACACGUUCUGGAGGACCCCGUGCCGGGGGGCCGCUGAGGGGCUCAGCAAAAAGUCGGUCGUGUGGGAGAAUAAGCACAUCACGUGGUUUGCCACCCUGGACGGCGGCAUCGGGCUGCUGCUGCCCAUGCAGGAGAAGACCUACCGGCGGCUGCUGAUGCUGCAGAACGCGCUGACCACUAUGUUGCCACACCACGCCGGCCUCAACCCUCGCGCCUUCCGGUGAGCCCCGGCCCUGCCCCUGUGCAGCACCCCUUCCACCCCAGCCUGCCCUGACACCCGUGCCUGUACGCCCCAGGAUGCUGCACGUGGACCGCCGCACCCUCCAGAAUGCCGUGCGCAACGUGUUGGAUGGGGAGCUGCUCAACCGCUACCUGUACCUGAGCACCAUGGAGCGCAGCGAGCUGGCCAAGAAGAUCGGCACCACGCCCGACAUAAUCCUGGACGACUUGCUGGAGACGGACCGCGUCACCGCCCACUUCUAGCCCCGUGGAUGCCGUCACCACCAGCACACCGCACUACCUCCCACCCCCAUUUUUGUACAAAACACAAGGAAAAAGAUUUUUGCUUGAGA
This 1012-nucleotide small RNA is filed under the name Pongo abelii (Sumatran orangutan). Its description in RNAcentral is "retained intron". The stretch from base 186 to 265 matches the Rfam family "mir-939 microRNA precursor family". Lineage: Eukaryota; Metazoa; Chordata; Mammalia; Primates; Hominidae. The record is from RNAcentral.